RNAcentral lists this long non-coding RNA (270 nucleotides) under Trifolium pratense (red clover). Its description in RNAcentral is "long non-coding RNA (TPRA_LNC010246)". The record is from RNAcentral. Lineage: Eukaryota; Viridiplantae; Streptophyta; Magnoliopsida; Fabales; Fabaceae.
CUCUUCACAUCAAUUUAUCCAUUCAAUCUUUACCUUCUUUAGCUAUAUCCUUGUAAAAAAAACACAAUUUGCUGAGGGUCUCGUCAUCACUUUUGCACACAAAAAUUAAUAUAAUCUCAAUCUAAACUAUAUUAUUUUUCUCUUGGGAAAGUUGUCAACAUCUCUUAUUCAAUCAACAGUAGUGGAAUAUUUUUGCUUUCACACGAAGAUCUGGUAAGUAUUUCCAAAUAUUUUGGUUAUUAUAACUUUGCUAUGUAUUUUUGUCUUGUG